RNAcentral lists this ribosomal RNA (443 nucleotides) under uncultured bacterium. RNAcentral's name for it is "partial 16S ribosomal RNA". It matches the Rfam family "Bacterial small subunit ribosomal RNA", at positions 338 to 795 of the family's 1533-position model. The record is from RNAcentral.
CCUACUGGGGACAUCAGUGGGGAAUAUUGCACAAUGGGCGAAAGCCUGAUGCCUCCCCUCCUCUUUCCUUCCUCCUUUUUUCUUCUUUUCCCCUUCUCUCACUCUUUAAGAAAGAAAUGACGGUACCUAAAUAAGAAGCCCCGGCUAACUACGUGCCAGCAGCCGCGGUAAUACGUAGGGGGCAAGCGUUAUCCGGAAUUACUGGGUGUAAAGGGAGAGUAGGCGGCAAGGUAAGCGAUAUGUGAAAGCCUUAAGCUUAACUAAAGGAUUGCAUAACGAACUAUCUAGCUAGAGUACAGGAGAGGAAAGCGGAAUUCCUAGUGUAGCGGUGAAAUGCGUAGAUAUUAGGAAGAACACCAGUGGCGAAGGCGGCUUUCUGGACUGAAACUGACGCUGAGGCUCGAAAGCGUGGGGAGCGAACAGGAUUAGAUACCCCGGUAGUC